RNAcentral lists this long non-coding RNA (752 nucleotides) under Anser brachyrhynchus (Pink-footed goose). Its description in RNAcentral is "lncRNA (ENSABRG00000009898.1)". The record is from RNAcentral. Lineage: Eukaryota; Metazoa; Chordata; Aves; Anseriformes; Anatidae.
AAUGCUCUUUUGAACACAUCACUUCCCUGUACCCAUGGGACAAAGGCAACAGGAAGGGCUGCCACUCACAGGCCACACCUAUUCCUUAGUGAAGGAGAUCUGAGCAAAGGAGUACAAAUGCUUUGCACCCUGCCAGGCUUCAGGCAAUGUAGCACCUUUGUAGUCAGCCCAUGGGACUCUUUUGGAGGCUGUGCCUGGCAGCAAGGGGGAGAGAGAUCCUUAUUACUACUCUGAAUGCAACACGUUGUCUCAAAACCAUCUAUAGAGCUCCAGGCCCAGAGAUGUUCCCCUACCACAGAGGCUUACUGGUGUUUCGCAGGGUCCUGGUGGCGAAUGCAGCUGCCUCCCCUGCAGAGAGGCUGAGCCUGGUCGGAGCAAGAAGCUCGGCUGCACCGCUCACCUGCAGGAGAAGGACCCAUCACUCCGUGCUGGUACCGUUGUCAGCAGUGCUCUUGCCGAUUGCAAGACUGGUGGAAGCAUCAAAGGGGUGCCCUUGGAAUGUGUGCCUAAUGAUGAUCAAUGAAAAUAGAAGCCCUGUUGCAGCGAGACUCAUGAGGUCCUGCUCACAGCUGGCACACAGAGGCAUGGCUGUAAAAAGAAGAUGCUGGGCAUCAGGACUAAUUGUCCCACCAGAUUCCUCCUCACCUUGGAAAACCCUUGUCUCCUCCCAGCAGGGGAGAUGGGCCGCCUGUCCUGGUGUGGAUACUGGUAUGCCAGCCAGAUGCUCUGCGAGCAGAUGCUUUGCCUCCUAG